This 449-nucleotide ribosomal RNA is filed under the name uncultured bacterium. RNAcentral describes it as "partial 16S ribosomal RNA". It matches the Rfam family "Bacterial small subunit ribosomal RNA", at positions 28 to 523 of the family's 1533-position model. The record is from RNAcentral.
GAUGAACGCUGGCGGCAGGCCUAACACAUGCAAGUCGAACGGAUCCUUCGGGAUUAGUGGCGGACGGGUGAGUAACGCGUGGGAACAUACCCUUUGGUACGGAAUAGCCUCGGGAAACUGGGAGUAAUACCGUAUGUGGUCGAGAGACGAAAGAUUUAUCGCCAAAGGAUUGGCCCGCGUUGGAUUAGGUAGUUGGUGGGGUAAUGGCCUACCAAGCCGACGAUCCAUAGCUGGUUUGAGAGGAUGAUCAGCCACACUGGGACUGAGACACGGCCCAGACUCCUCCGGGAGGCACCAGUGGGGAAUCUUAGACAAUGGGGGAAUCCCUGAUCUAGCCAUGCCGCGUGAUCGAUGAAGUCCUUAGGGUUGUAAAGAUCUUUCAGGUGGGAAGAUAAUGACUGUACCACCAGAAGAAGCCCCGGCUAACUCCGUGCCAGCCGCCGCCGUAA